UAAACAGAAAAAUACAUGGGUACUUGGAAAUACCAGAUUUAUUUCUCGUGUUGAACAUGAUAUCUCACUCGUUCGCUGCCCUCAUUCGUGAGAUAUCAUGUUCAACACUCGAAAUAAAUCUGGUAUUUCCGCGCACCCAUGUAUUAUUCUUUAUAACUUUGGCGGAGUUUUAAUGGAAAUAUUAAUGUUAGGUUUUUUAUCAAACUGCGG
Non-coding RNA from Paramuricea clavata, 210 nucleotides. Lineage: Eukaryota; Metazoa; Cnidaria; Anthozoa; Malacalcyonacea; Plexauridae. The record is from the annotation of a GenBank genome assembly.